GGAUGGACCCGCGGCGUAUUAGCUAGUUGGUGAGGUAAAGGCUCACCAAGGCAGUGAUACGUAGCCGACCUGAGAGGGUAAUCGGCCACAUUGGGACUGAGACACGGCCCAGACUCCUACGGGAGGCAGCAGUAGGGAAUCUUCCACAAUGGACGCAAGUCUGAUGGAGCAACGCCGCGUGAGUGAAGAAGGGUUUCGGCUCGUAAAGCUCUGUUGUUAAAGAAGAACGUGGGUAAGAGUAACUGUUUACCCAGUGACGGUAUUUAACCAGAAAGCCACGGCUAACUACGUGCCAGCAGCCGCGGUAAUACGUAGGUGGCAAGCGUUAUCCGGAUUUAUUGGGCGUAAAGCGAGCGCAGGCGGUCUUUUAAGUCUAAUGUGAGAGCCUUCGGCUCAACCGAAGAAGUGCAUUGGAAACUGGGAGACUUGAGUGCAGAAGAGGACAGUGGAACUCCAUGUGUAGCGGUGAAAUGCGUAGAUAUAUGGAAGAACACCAGUGGCGAAGGCGGCUGUCUGGUCUGCAACUGACGCUGAGGCUCGAAAGCAUGGGUAGCGAACAGGAUUAGAUACCCUGGUAGUCCAUGCCGUAAACGAUGAUUACUAUGUGUUGGAGGG
This 615-nucleotide ribosomal RNA is filed under the name Pediococcus pentosaceus. RNAcentral describes it as "bacterial SSU rRNA". It matches the Rfam family "Bacterial small subunit ribosomal RNA", at positions 223 to 830 of the family's 1533-position model. Lineage: Bacteria; Bacillati; Bacillota; Bacilli; Lactobacillales; Lactobacillaceae. The record is from RNAcentral.